RNAcentral lists this ribosomal RNA (458 nucleotides) under uncultured Actinomycetes bacterium. Its description in RNAcentral is "bacterial SSU rRNA". It matches the Rfam family "Bacterial small subunit ribosomal RNA", at positions 28 to 491 of the family's 1533-position model. Lineage: Bacteria; Bacillati; Actinomycetota; Actinomycetes. The record is from RNAcentral.
GACGAACGCUGGCGGCGUGCUUAACACAUGCAAGUCGAACGGAAUCCAUGGUGUAGCAAUACACCGGAAGAUUUAGUGGCGAACGGGUGAGGAUCACGUGAGAAACGUGCCCCAGACUCUGGGAUAACAAUUGGAAACGAUUGCUAAUACCGGAUGACGUCGGAGAAUCGCAUGAUUCACUGACGAAAGAUAUUUCGGUUUGGGAGCGUCUCGCGGCCUAUCAGCUUGUUGGUGGGGUAAUGGCCUACCAAGGCAACGACGGGUAGCUGGUCUGAGAGGAUGAUCAGCCACACUGGGACUGAGACACGGCCCAGACUCCUACGGGAGGCAGCAGUGGGGAAUCUUGCGCAAUGGGCGAAAGCCUGACGCAGCAACGCCGCGUGCGGGAUGAAGGCCAGAACUUCGGGCUGUAAACCGCUUUCAGCAGGAACGAAAAUGACGGUACCUGCAGAGGAGGA